CAUAGGUUUGGUCCUGGCCUUUCUAUUAGUUAUUAGUGAACUUACACAUGCGAGAAUCCCCAUUCCUGUGAAAAUGCCCUCUAAUCAUUAUUUGAUAUAAAGGAGCUGGUAUCAAGCACACUAAAAAGUAGCUCACAACACCUUGCUCAGCCACACCCCCACGGGAAACAGCAGUGAUAAAAAUUAAGCAAUAAAUGAAAGUUUGACUAAGUUACACUUCUAAGGACUGGUAAAUUUCGUGCCAGCCACCGCGGUCAUACGAUUGGGCCAAACUAAUAGACAAUCGGCGUAAAGUGUGUUUUAGAAUUUAACCUACCAAUAAAGUCAAACUUUAAUCAAGCUGUAAAAAGCCCUUAUUACUGUAAGAUAACUAACAAAAGUAACUUUAAAAUUUCUGACUACACAAUAGCUAAGACCCAAACUGGGAUUAGAUACCCCACUAUGCUUAGCCCUAAACAUAAAAAAUUAUAAACAAAAUUAUUCGCCAGAGUACUACCAGCAAAAGCUAGAAACUCAAAGGACUUGGCGGUGCCCUAUAUCCUUCUAGAGGAGCCUGUUCCAUAAUCGAUAAACCCCGAUAUACCUUACCAACCUUCGCCAAAUCAGCCUAUAUACCGCCAUCUUCAGCAAACCCUAAAAAGGAAAGACAGUAAGCAUAAAUAUCAACAUAAAAACGUUAGGUCAAGGUGUAGCCUAUAGGUUGGAGAGAAAUGGGCUACAUUUCCUAAAUUUGGAUAUUACGAAAACUCAUGUGAAAACAUCAGUUAAAGGUGGAUUUAGCAGUAAAUUAAGAAUAGAGUGCUUAAUUGAAUAAGGCCAUGGGGCACGCACACACCGCCCGUCACCCUCCUCAAACAACAAGUAUCAAUCAUUCCAUAAAACCCUGGAUAUUAUCUGUAAGAGGAGAUAAGUCGUAACAAGGUAAGUGUACUGGAAAGUGCACUUGGAUAACG
Molecule: non-coding RNA, 953 nt
Filed under: Vespadelus regulus
Lineage: Eukaryota; Metazoa; Chordata; Mammalia; Chiroptera; Vespertilionidae
Description: Eptesicus regulus 12S ribosomal RNA
Rfam family: Bacterial small subunit ribosomal RNA
Source: RNAcentral